This 375-nucleotide unclassified non-coding RNA is filed under the name soil metagenome. Its description in RNAcentral is "partial contains 5.8S ribosomal RNA, internal transcribed spacer 2, and large subunit ribosomal RNA". The stretch from base 1 to 120 matches the Rfam family "5.8S ribosomal RNA", at positions 35 to 154 of the family's 154-position model. The record is from RNAcentral.
GAUGAAGAACGCAGUGAAAUGCGAUAAGUAAUGUGAAUUGCAGAAUUCAGUGAAUCAUCGAAUCUUUGAACGCAUCUUGCGCUCCUUGGUAUUCCAUGGAGCAUGCCUGUUUGAGUGUCACGUAAACCCUCACACCAGUGAUGUCAAAGUCUCUGGAAGUGGAUUUGGACUGUGCCGUAGUUGGCUCGUCCUGAAAUACAUUAGCCUGCGUUUUUUAGCGUGCUCGGCAUGGUGUGAUAAUUAUCUGCGCCGUCGCCUUAGGCCGCUUCUAUAUGCGCUGCUUAUAAUUGUCCCUUGCGGACAGACACUAUAAAGCUCUGGCCUCAAAUCAGGUAGGAUUACCCGCUGAACUUAAGCAUAUCAAUAAGCGGAGGA